RNAcentral lists this ribosomal RNA (471 nucleotides) under uncultured bacterium. RNAcentral's name for it is "bacterial SSU rRNA". It matches the Rfam family "Bacterial small subunit ribosomal RNA", at positions 28 to 507 of the family's 1533-position model. The record is from RNAcentral.
GACGAACGCUGGCGGCGUGCCUGACACAUGCAAGUCGGACGGUUCUUGUACCUUCAAGCUUGCUUGUUGGUGCAAGGAUAGUGGCGGACGGGUGAGUAACGCGUGAACAUCUACCCAUUGGAGGGGGACGAACCCGUCGAAAGGCGGGCGUAAUACCGCGUAAGCCGCGAGGUGAGAGGCUGCCUAUUGGUGGCCGCCGAUGGAUGGGUUCGCGUCCUAUCAGCUGGUUGGUGGGGUAACGGCCUACCAAGGCGAAGACGGGUAGCCGGUCUGAGAGGAUGGCCGGCCGACACUGGAACUGAGACACGGUCCAGACUCCUACGGGAGGCAGCAGUGGGGAAUAUUGGGCAAUGGGCGAAAGCCUGACCCAGCAACGCCGCGUGAAGGAAGAAGGCUUUCGGUUGUAAACUUCUUUUGGCAGGGACGAAGAAAGUGACGGUACCUGCAGAAUAAGCUCCGGCUAACUACGCG